UGGGGAAUCUUGCACAAUGGGGGCAACCCUGAUGCAGCGACGCCGCGUGAGCGAUGAAGCCCUUCGGGGCGUAAAGCUCUUUCGACCGGAACGAUAAUGACGGUACCGGGAGAAGAAGCUGCGGCUAACUACGUGCCAGCAGCCGCGGUAAUACGUAGGCAGCAAGCGUUGUUCGGAAUUACUGGGCGUAAAGCGUGCGUAGGUGGUUGUUUAAGUCUGAUGUGAAAGCCCUGGGCUCAACCUGGGAAUGGCAUUGGAAACUGGGCUGCUAGAGUGCGGUAGAGGUUAGUGGAAUUCCCGGUGUAGCAGUGAAAUGCGUAGAGAUCUGGAGGAACACCUGUGGCGAAGGCGACUGCCUGGACCAGCACUGACACUGAGGCACGAAAGCGGGG
Molecule: ribosomal RNA, 392 nt
Filed under: uncultured bacterium
Lineage: Bacteria
Description: bacterial SSU rRNA
Rfam family: Bacterial small subunit ribosomal RNA
Source: RNAcentral